ACGCUAGCUACAGGCUUAACACAUGCAAGUCGAGGGGAAACGGCAUUAAGUGCUUGCACUUUUUGGACGUCGACCGGCGCACGGGUGAGUAACGCGUAUCCAACCUUCCCAUGACUAAGGGAUAACCUGCCGAAAGGCAGACUAAUACCUUAUGGUCUUCACUGACGGCAUCAGAUGUGAAGUAAAGAUUUAUCGGUUAUGGAUGGGGAUGCGUCUGAUUAGCUUGUUGGCGGGGUAACGGCCCACCAAGGCAACGAUCAGUAGGGGUUCUGAGAGGAAGGUCCCCCACAUUGGAACUGAGACACGGUCCAAACUCCUACGGGAGGCAGCAGUGAGGAAUAUUGGUCAAUGGGCGAGAGCCUGAACCAGCCAAGUAGCGUGCAGGAAGACGGCCCUAUGGAUUGUAAACUGCUUUUGUAUGGGGAUAAAGUCAAUCACGUGUGAUUGUUUGCAGGUACCAUACGAAUAAGGACCGGCUAAUUCCGUGCCAGCAGCCGCGGUAAUACGGAAGGUCCGGGCGUUAUCCGGAUUUAUUGGGUUUAAAGGGAGCGUAGGCUGGAGAUUAAGUGUGUUGUGAAAUGUAGACGCUCAACGUCUGACUUGCAGCGCAUACUGGUUUCCUUGAGUACGCACAACGUUGGCGGAAUUCGUCGUGUAGCGGUGAAAUGCUUAGAUAUGACGAAGAACUCCGAUUGCGAAGGCAGCUGACGGGAGCGCAACUGACGCUGAAGCUCGAAGGUGUGGGUAUCGAACAGGAUUAGAUACCCUGGUAGUCCGCACAGUAAACGAUGGAUGCCCGCUGUUGGUACCUGGUAUCAGCGGCUAAGCGAAAGCAUUAAGCAUCCCACCUGGGGAGUACGCCGGCAACGGUGAAACUCAAAGGAAUUGACGGGGGCCCGCACAAGCGGAG
This 910-nucleotide ribosomal RNA is filed under the name uncultured bacterium. Its description in RNAcentral is "bacterial SSU rRNA". It matches the Rfam family "Bacterial small subunit ribosomal RNA", at positions 33 to 934 of the family's 1533-position model. The record is from RNAcentral.